CUUUUUCUAGAUCAAGCAGCAAGAAAAUUAACCAUGUGAGUUUUUUUGGUGUGUUUUAUAGUAAAUAUUAAUUACUAACCUAUAUAAAUAUGAUGCAUCUGUUUAUAGGUACUGGCUUGCUUUUGAAUAUUGUUGCAGAUAAAGCACUAAAAUCAAUGUAGCAUUAUCAAUUGGGCACAGUUAGUAUCUAUAGCAGUAGCUGGUAAGAACUAAAUCUACCGUAGAGAGCAAGUACUGUUUAGUCUACAAAUGUCUUUUAAUCAAUGAGUUCUAUCUUUUUGACAGAUAUGCACAUGAUGCACCUGUUUUUGCUUAUGAUAGGUUUUCACUUGCUUUUGAAUAGUUGAUGCCAACCUCUUAAAGUGUGGAAGACUGUUUAAUCAUGGCUAUUACUACAACUGUUAGACUUGAGCCUUUUCUUUAUAACUCGAAAUAAUUUUUAUUUCACAUCGUUUGCAUAUGCUCUCUUCUCCUAAGCAGUAAUUUUUUCGCCAUGCCCUUGUGUACAUUCGCGUUAGAAAUUCAGCUCCGCCUUUGUGUGUUCCAGAUGGAGUUGCCACUGAAGUCAGGUGUUUGCCUUUCCCCCACCCUGUUCUUUUUGUUUACCUAGAUGUUUGCAUGUUCUGUUUCUAAUAAGGGUGUGCCCUAUGGGUAUUUUUCAUGUUGUGUUGGUUUGGUUGUUUUCAUUUUAUUCCUGCCAUACCACAUGGUAUUAUCUGUCUACUCUUCCUGUAUUCAUUUGUUGCGGUUGGCUGCUUCAUAGUGUCAUUUGCCAUCCCAUUCCUACCUAUGCCCAAGGUGGUCGGUGAUGUUUAUGUCCUGGGAGCUGUUGCUGAUCCCAAGAUUGGUAGUUCUUCAUGUGUGUAUGGGCAAUGUUGUCAGCAAUAUUGCAAACAGUUUAGCUGAUAUCCCGAAUUAAGGUUCGCUUGAAAUUGUCAA
This is a non-coding RNA of Lolium perenne, 939 nucleotides long. The record is from RefSeq and is a predicted model, not a curated record. NCBI's taxonomy places the organism in Eukaryota, Viridiplantae, Streptophyta, Magnoliopsida, Poales, Poaceae.